RNAcentral lists this transfer RNA (72 nucleotides) under Spirochaetaceae bacterium. RNAcentral's name for it is "tRNA-Gly". It matches the Rfam family "tRNA". Rfam says of the family: Transfer RNA (tRNA) molecules are approximately 80 nucleotides in length. Their secondary structure includes four short double-helical elements and three loops (D, anti-codon, and T loops). Further hydrogen bonds mediate the characteristic L-shaped molecular structure. tRNAs have two regions of fundamental functional importance: the anti-codon, which is responsible for specific mRNA codon recognition, and the 3' end, to which the tRNAs corresponding amino acid is attached (by aminoacyl-tRNA synthetases). tRNAs cope with the degeneracy of the genetic code in two manners: having more than one tRNA (with a specific anti-codon) for a particular amino acid; and 'wobble' base-pairing, i.e. permitting non-standard base-pairing at the 3rd anti-codon position. Lineage: Bacteria; Pseudomonadati; Spirochaetota; Spirochaetia; Spirochaetales; Spirochaetaceae. The record is from RNAcentral. RNAcentral also lists the same sequence under 3 other names.
GCGGGAAUAGCUCAGUGGUAGAGCUCCACCUUGCCAAGGUGGAUGUCGCGGGUUCAAAUCCCGUUUCCCGCU